CGCCUUGCCAGCCCGCUCAGAAACUUAAAUGAAUUGACGGGGGCCCGCACAAGCGGUGGAGCAUGUGGUUUAAUUCGAUGAUACGCGAGGAACCUUACCUGGGCUCAAAUGUAUGUUGACGUAUUCUGAAAGGGAUACUUCUUCGGACAAUAUACAAGGUGCUGCAUGGUUGUCGUCAGCUCGUGUCGUGAGAUGUUGGGUUAAGUCCCGCAACGAGCGCAACCCUUGCCUUUAGUUGCCAGCAGUUCGGCUGGGCACUCUAAAGGGACUGCCGGUGUUAAACCGGAGGAAGGUGGGGAUGACGUCAAGUCCUCAUGGCCUUUAUGACCAGGGCUACACACGUACUACAAUGGCCGAUACAAAGGGCAGCGACACUGCGAGGUGAAGCCAAUCCCGUAAAAUCGGUCUCAGUCCGGAUUGGAGUCUGCAACUCGACUCCAUGAAGUUGGAAUCGCUAGUAAUCGUGGAUCAGCAUGCCACGGUGAAUACGUUCCCGGGCCUU
RNAcentral lists this ribosomal RNA (502 nucleotides) under uncultured Desulfobulbus sp. RNAcentral describes it as "bacterial SSU rRNA". It matches the Rfam family "Bacterial small subunit ribosomal RNA", at positions 903 to 1382 of the family's 1533-position model. Lineage: Bacteria; Pseudomonadati; Thermodesulfobacteriota; Desulfobulbia; Desulfobulbales; Desulfobulbaceae. The record is from RNAcentral.